RNAcentral lists this ribosomal RNA (433 nucleotides) under uncultured bacterium. RNAcentral describes it as "partial 16S ribosomal RNA". It matches the Rfam family "Bacterial small subunit ribosomal RNA", at positions 29 to 507 of the family's 1533-position model. The record is from RNAcentral.
AACGAACGCUGGCGGCAUGCCUAACACAUGCGAGUCGAACGAGACCUUCGGGUCUAGUGGCGCACGGGUGCGUAACGCGUGGGAACCUGCCCUUAGGUUCGGAAUAACUCCCCGAAAGGGGUGCUAAUACCGGAUAAUGUCUUCGGACCAAAGAUUUAUCGCCUUUGGAUGGGCCCGCGUUGGAUUAGCUAGUUGGUAGGGUAAAAGCCUACCAAGGCGACGAUCCAUAGCUGGUCUGAGAGGAUGAUCAGCCACACUGGGACUGAGACACGGCCCAGACGCGUGCGGGAGGCAGCAGGGGGGAAUAUUGUAGAGUGGGCGAGAGCCUUAACCCGCUAUGCCGCGUGAGUGAAGAAGGCCUUAGGGUUGAAAAGGUCGUUUACCCGGGAUGAUAAUGACAGGAGAGGGAGAAUAAGCUCCGGCGAACUCCGUG